This 3805-nucleotide long non-coding RNA is filed under the name Heterocephalus glaber (naked mole-rat). Its description in RNAcentral is "lncRNA (ENSHGLG00000036407.1)". Lineage: Eukaryota; Metazoa; Chordata; Mammalia; Rodentia; Bathyergidae. The record is from RNAcentral.
UGCCUGCACUGUGGUUAGUUUGGGCAGCCACAUGUCGAUCUUCCCCAGUAGUCUGACGUAUGCAUGAUUCUAUUAAACACAGCUUGGACAGGAUGUUCUUUCCUGAUUUGGAUUAAAUGAGAUUGUGUGAGCCAAGCAUGCAUAAAUUCUCAACUUGGUCAUGUCCAUGGCUGACACAGGCACCUCCUCUUCCAGGCUGCCUUUGAGUCAAUCCCCAUCUGCUGUCACGUACCUGUACAACAGGGCAGAAGCUCACACACAAUGGUCAUAAUGGCUUCCCCUGAAGAUCGCUUCUGGUCAGGGGGGCAAAGUGGACCCUACUUAGAUACUACAGCCCUGUGACCUCAGGUUUGGCUAGAGGGAUGGACAUGAGGCUCAGGCAGCCUAGAAAAGGGAAAUAAGACAUAACUUCUUAGAGGAGCUUUUUGUACUGGGCCUUGAGGGUUAAGUAGGAGUUCCUUGGGCAGAAUAGCCUGUUGGUAAGGUCUUAGAUGAUUCACAAGGACCUGGCUCAGGCUAGUACAGUAAUCCCUCAGUUCACAAACACUUGUGAACAAUUUGGUUUACAAACAGGAGUGUUCAGCAAAACUUUUUGUUCUGCAUCAAGUGACAAAUAUGACCACGGCCAUCUUCCCCAGUAUUGUGGAACAAAUUAAGUUCACGAACUGAGGGACCAGUUUGUCUUCUCUGUAUUUUUCUGGAGGUUGAACUCAGUGGGUACUGAAGGUCUUACUAAGUUCCCCAUGCUAGCCUCAAAUUUGUGAUCCUCCUGCCUCAGCCUCCCAGUAUCUGGGAUUACAUGUGUGCCCCAUCAUGCUGGACUCUUUUCUUUGUGUCAUGUGUACCAUUGAGAGGUGUCCUUCUGUUGCAGACUUAGAGGUUAUGAAUAUCAUUCCAACAUGACUCUCCAUCUUUUCCUCUCUUCGUGGUCUACCCUUCCCACUGCUGCACUGGAAAGUGAGGGAGGUUCCUCACGCCAGCUCUGCCGCCUCUCACGGUCCCUCCUUUUCUAGUCAGUUUCAUUCUUGACCACUUCAAUACUUUGGUGGCACACACCUGUAAUCUCAGCACUCGGGAGGCUGAGGCAGGAGGAUCACUGUGAGUUUGACGCCAGCCUGGGCCUACAUAGCCAGACACUGUCUCAAAAGAAAAAAGAAAAAGAAAAGCUGAGCGUGGUGGCACACAGAUCAUUCUAGCACUGGAAAAGCUGAGGCAGGAGGAUCACACAUUUGAGCCCAGCCUGAGCAACGUGAUGACUCAGCGAGCCCGUCUCAAAACGAAAAAUACAAAGGGCUGGGGAUUGAGCUCAGCAUGAAGGCCCCGGGUUCCAUCCUCAGCACUGCAAAAAUAAAGAAUAGUGGGCUGGGGAUUUAGCUCAGUGGUUCCGCCGCCUGCUGUGCAAGUCCAAGGACCUGAGUUUGAUCCCGGGUACAAACAAAAAACCAAAAAAAAAAGAAUAGUAAAAUAGAUCAAAGUCCACAAUGAGCCUUCCUCUACUUUUCUGAUGUUCUGCACCUGCUCUUUUCUCCAGAUUGUGUUGCCUAAGAUUCAUCUACUACUGUUUUCGAACGUUUUUUAUUUUUUUUGGUACCGGGGAUCAAACUCGGGUCCUUGUGCUUGCGAGGCAGGUAGUGGCACCAGCGAGCUAAAUCCCCGGAUCAACGUUUUUGAUCUUGUUAAUGCAAAAGGACCACUUCAGAUGCCCACUCAAUUCUGACUUUCAUCUGUUUCUUGUUCAUUUGGGUUUAUCCUGUUCUUUCAGAGCUAUUUGAAUUGGACCUUGACUCAUUUAAUAUUUUCAAAACUUGUUUUAUUAUCAGUUGUAUCCAAAGGUAUGACUUUUCUUCUGAAUAUACCUUUGGCCGCACUGCAGGGGCUUCAUGACAUUCAUUUUGGAUUUCUGGUUUUCCUUUUGGUUUGUCUGGAAGCAGGAUCUAAGUGUCUGAGUUGCCUGGGCUGGGCUUGAACUCAAGAACCUCCUGCCUCAGCCUCACAAAUCUGCCAGUGCCAAUUUUGACACCUAUUUCAUCUGUGGUUAGGGUUAUUUAGGUCUAAUUUUUUUUUUUGGUACUGGGGAUCGAACUCAGGUCCCUGCGCUUGCGAGGCAGGCGGUGGAACCACUGAGCUAAAUCCCCGGUGCUAGGACUAGUUUUUGAUGCCUUGCUCUGCUGGUGUUUGAAGGGCGCCCCCUCAGGACGGUGCUUCCACGAAGCCCCUGCUGUGCUCACUGCGCUAGCCUGCUGUCCCGGUCCCGACAGGAGGUGCAGACUCAGGGUGCAGUGCCCUCUAGCCCCAGCCCGUGCUGGUUCGGCUGUGGUUCUGCUCCAGGGUGGCCCAGGCUGUCCCCUCCCCAUGGCCUGUGUCCCCAGGGCUCCCUGGAGAAGGCAGUGGCACUCACGGUGCUUGGCACUGGGCUCAUGAUGCGCUGAGGGCUUAAGAACGACUCCACAGGGCCGGGUCGGACGAUCUCCCUUUAAUACAAAGUUGGUUUAUCUACAUACAGAGGUGGGAAACCACCCAGCUGUUUCCGUUUGAAUAAAGUGUUGAAAGCAACGGCAGAUCUGCUCUUAUACAAAGAGAAAAAUCCUGGCGGGGCCGGUGGGGACAGGGCCGAGUCCCGUGCUGCCCCACCCUCAGGACCAUACUUGAUAUGUCUGAAAAUCUAAUUAAAAAACAGUAGGGGGCAAAAAAGGAAGAAUAGAAACCAGGAAGAAAAGGACAUCUCAUUCUUACGUGGGCAGGGGGGCCAGGUCAGGCACAGCUUGCGACAUGGGAGGAAAAACAAAACACAGGAGAGCCAGCUGAAGGAACCUUGGUGGGUCAGGCCCGAGUUCUCGACUGACUCAUGGAUCACAGAGGACGUGUUCUACCGUGAAAAAAUAGACUGUCUUUGAACAGAAUAUGAAAAGCAAAGUCAUUCUUUUUUAAAGUCCUUGACUGGCAAGUCUUUUUUUUGUUGUUGUUUUUUCUUCUUUUAAAAAAAAUGGAAAAAAAAAUACACUAUUUAAAAAAAAAAAAAAAAAAAAAAAAAAAAAAAGGAAAUGUCACCAGAUACAGUUACACUGAGAGGGUAAAAGAAAGCGGAGUUCUGCCCAUGCCCCUGCCCGGCCCAGCACCCCAGGCUGGGGACAGAAAGGGGCUCCGGCCGACCUGGGAGGACAGGGCGGUGGUGGCCGGCGCCCGCCCUUUGGGGUCCAAGAGUCCCCGACUGCACGCCGCCUCCCCACCCGAGUCUGGGUUUGGAAUCACAAGGAAACAGGAAUGUUCCGAGUACGUGAUGCUGGCGGCCAGGCCAGGGCCUGCCGCGUUGGCCGGGCCUUGUGGGGGGCUCGGGAGGCCACUUUGUCCCGGGGACCCCGUAGCCGCCGCCGCAGCCUGUGUGCCCAGCCGCGGGGUCUGCUCAGCGCAGCUGCACGGGGGCUUCUGGGCCGGGGACCUCAUGGCUUUAUGUUGCAUAGUGGUCAAAGCUGCCGAGGUACUCCAGCGAUGCCUGGUAGCAGAACUGGUACUCAUCCUGUGGGGACAGCAUGGUGGCUGUCAGGGCCUCCCUCACUCUAAGCUCUCCCAGGGCUUCCUGGGGCUCCGGGAGUAGCCAAGCACCCAGGCUGUUCCCGCUCUCUCGUCAGGUUGCUCUGUUUUCACACAGGCAGGGACCCCCAAAACACCCUCUGCUCCCCCUUCAGACCAGGCUGCUCAGCUGGCCCCGCCCCAGCUAGGGUCAGUGGUCCAGCUCAGGCCCCAGACAUGGACUCAUCACAGCCACCGGGAACUUGGUCCCUGGGGAGUCCCUUCUACCCUGGGCCUC